This 3203-nucleotide long non-coding RNA is filed under the name Gossypium raimondii (Peruvian cotton). RNAcentral's name for it is "long non-coding RNA (GRAI_LNC011207)". The record is from RNAcentral. Lineage: Eukaryota; Viridiplantae; Streptophyta; Magnoliopsida; Malvales; Malvaceae.
UCUUUACAAACAAUUCCAGAUUCUUUCAUUCUUUUGAAUUUGCUUCUAAAUUGUUAUUCAUUCAUUCAUAAUCAUAUUGUAUAAAUAAUCAUUCAUAAAUUUAUACAUUCUUUUGUAUAUUCUUCGGUACUUAUUACGGGUCCUCAGAUAUCAAUUACAUGAAUGACACUGCUACAGACUCAGAUUUUCCUCUUGAGUGUGGCAUGUGUUUAGACGGAUCUCAUGGCUUUAGAAAUGACAUAGAUCGUAGCUUGUCUCCGGACUUAUUGAGGAAGGUUGAGCAGGAGGAUACACGGAUCAUACUUCACAAGGAACCAUUAGAAAUUGUGAGCUUGGUGAAGAUUAGAACUGACCUGACUGCAAAGACGAAGCAAGACCUUGUUGAGUUACCUCUAGAGUUCAAAGAUGUCUUUGUAUGAUCAUACCAGGGUAUGCCCCAAUUCCUAUAAUGAAACCUGCACAACAGCACGAUGUCAGAAAUUUACAGUGCGAACGAUGUAAUUCUUUGCCGGGGCAAUGCCUCUCUCGUUGAAUCAGCAUAGCUCCGCCCAUUUGAAGUCGAGUUUCCAUCCCUUCAAGAUGUUGUUGGAUUUUAUCCUGAGUAAAAAGGAAGAUCCCAAGUUUUCUGUCGUAGUUGCGUCCCAAAAGGGCUCUAUGAAAGAAAUCUGGUACCCAAGAAGGUUUUUCACAUACAAGAUGAAAGUGGAAGAUCUUAUGUGGAAAACUUUAGAAUAGCAUUGAUUCUGAUCGAAAAGCAUGACCAGGACUUACCUGAUCCCAUGAGCUCAGACAAAAAAAUGAAGAAGAAAAAAAUCAAAAAAAAAUCAAAGUCAAAAAUAGGAAAAAAAGAAGAAGCAAAGAAAAAUAAAGAGAAAAAAGAGAGGUCAAGGCGAAAACCCGCAAAGGGCGCUUUGACCAAAGGUGGAUCUGAGUUGAAAACCCGAAAAGGGUGACUCAAAUUUUGAGCAAAAUGGGGCAUGGACAUCACCAUUACCGAAGACUUCUAAUGGCCAUUGCUUUAUUUUUUGAGAGGCUACUUCAUGGAUCAAGGUCAUCCUAUACCGGUACAUAAUUUCAGAGAGGAUGGUUUUGGAAAAUGCAUUGAACUUAAAUGAUAGCACGAUAACUGAGGUCUAAAAUCAAUUCAGAAGCAGACACCACGUUUUGUGACUGAAUUACCUAGAGGUAAACGAGGACUGGCAUGAGAAAUUACCAUUUGCCCUUAUUGCUUGUCGAACAUCUGCACUAGGGCAACACCUCUCUUUUUGGUUUACAGGAUUGAGGUAGUUUUACCUAUUGAAAUCCCCUCAUUGCUUGUUGGAGGGAUCCAAUCGCGAUGUGAUCUGUUGGCCCUAUAAAAAGGGUUAAAAGCUAUUCAUCGGGGUAGAAUGUACCAGAAAUAAAUGAUAUAAGCCCAUAAUAAACAGGCUCGUCUCAGAGAAUUCCACGAGAGGGCUGGAUGUUGAAAAAGAUUCUUCCUUAACGAACGGAUUCUAAAAGGAAAUGAAUGCCAAACCGGGAAUGUCCCUAUGUUGUAAAGAAGACCAUUUUCAGAGGAGCACUGAUCCUGAGUGAGAUUGCUAAUCCUAUAAACUUGGAUCCAGUUAAGAAACACUUUGUUUAAAGAAGAAUGAAGGACCAAGGUGAAAACCUGCAGAGGGCACUUUCAGUCAAGAAAAAAAACAAAAAAGAGAUGAAAAAACAAAAAUGAAAAAUGAAAAAUGAAAUAGUAAAAAUGGAGAGGCUAAGGGGAAAACCCGCAAAGGGCACCUUAGGCCAAAGGGGAUUUGAGUUGAAAACCCGAAAAGGGCGACUCAAAUAUUGAUCAGAAAGGGGUGAAGUGAUCAAAGCAACUCAAAUCUUGAUCAGAUUGAGGCAUGUGGUGAUCUUGUUAUGCCUGAAUCAACAGGAAGGGAUAGGCGACAUCUCGGGGCAUCGACAGAGCACUGUAGAUCUCCUAAACACAUGUCCAACUCAAAAUGGUCUUCAAAAAGUUUGUACAGAGAAGUUCAAGCUGCGAUAUCUGGGGCACCCAAUUCUCAUAUUAUUUGUUGUUCUUGGAAUACUUUUUUUCCUUUUCCAAAUAUACAUUCCCAAUUAAUUUCUUUGUCAUCCUUCUUUACUAUUUUCGAUAAUUUGUUCUUUCGAGCUAUGCUCAGAACCAACUUUAUUCUUAUCUAUUGUUAUGACCUUUUUGCAAACAUGUUGCAUUGCAAUAAUGAUUAAUGGACUAAUAAAACUUGCACAAAGGAAGUUUUGCAUAUUACUCUGAAAAGUUUCUAAAUAAUAUAGGAGUCUGAAACAGGACUAUUGUUUAGAACACACCAAUUUUAAAGGUUGGAAAUCUAAGAAGGAAGAGUCUGAAUUUAGACUUUCUCUUUGAAUUUCGUUGUCGAAUGCAUUGGUUGAACAAAAUGAUAAGAUGACAGGUUAAUGACAAAGCUUAAAUGAACAAGCAAGCAAUGAUCAUCAGGCAAUAGGAAGAGGUUACCUCGGAGAAGAGAGUCUUCAUUUGCGCAUAAGUCUCUGGUACGACACCUUGGGAAUGGUGUAAGGAACUAGAACGACUCAGAUCCUGUAUCCUUGAAUUGUGAUAAGGAAGGAUUGAGGAAAGGCCACAUAUUUCUACGAUUGGAUUAUAGUGGGAGAAUGAUGGUACAAAUUUUGUGUCCUAGUGGAUUUCACAGUGGGGGCAAUCUGACUAAAGUGGUGCUUUGAAGAAGUCGGUCAAGUGAGAAGAAGUUGUAGCACGUCAGUCACAAAGCCUUAAUAAACUUCGAGUAAUGACAACCUCGACGGGAUCGUUCUCGGAAAAAUAAAAUUCUGCAUUCAGGCAAACACCAUUCACACAUGUCUAGUUAGGAGCAUUUGAUUCAUUUUGAUCAUUCCAUCCUAAUCUUUAGCAUAAUUAGGUUCAUUAUACAGGUCAUGUUCCCCAGAGAACAGAUCAAUGAAGUUACCCACACCCCUGAAGUUGCAGUGGGAUGGAUUGAAGUCAUCAUAUUAGAUUUUAUCUCCCUAAGUAGUAGUGGAGCAGAUCGAAGACGGCGAAUCUUAUCUUCCUAAGCAGUAGUGAAGCAGAUUUAAACCACCAGUCCUAUCUCCCUAAGCAGUAGUGGAGCAGGUCGAAGAUGGUAGAUCUUAUCUCCUUAAGCAGUAGUGGAGCAGGUCAAAGAUGGUAGAUUUUAUCUCCCUAAGCNNNN